AGAGUUUGAUCAUGGCUCAGGACGAACGCUGGCGGCGUGCUUAACACAUGCAAGUCGAACGAAGCAUAUCGAAGGAAGUUUUCAGAUGGAAUUUGAUAUGACUUAGUGGCGGACGGGUGAGUAACGCGUGAGCAACCUGGCCAUAAGAGGGGGACAACAGCUGGAAACGGCUGCUAAUACCGCAUAAGACCACACUAUCGCAUGAUAGAGGGGUCAAAGAUUUAUCGCUUAUGGAUGGGCUCGCGUCCCAUUAGCUAGUUGGUAGGGUAACGGCCUACCAAGGCGACGAUGGGUAGCCGACCUGAGAGGGUGAUCGGCCACACUGGAACUGAGACACGGUCCAGACUCCUACGGGAGGCAGCAGUGGGGAAUAUUGGGCAAUGGGGGAAACCCUGACCCAGCAACGCCGCGUGAGGGAAGAAGGCUUUCGGGUUGUAAACCUCUGUCCUUGGGGACGAAGAAAUGACGGUACCCAAGGAGGAAGCUCCGGCUAACUACGUGCCAGCAGCCGCGGUAAUACGUAGGGAGCAAGCGUUGUCCGGAAUUACUGGGCGUAAAGGGUGCGUAGGCGGUUUGUUAAGUCAGAUGUGAAAUACUUGGGCUCAACCCAGGGGCUGCAUUUGAAACUGGCAGACUUGAGUGCAGGAGAGGAAAGCGGAAUUCCUAGUGUAGCGGUGAAAUGCGUAGAUAUUAGGAGGAACACCAGUGGCGAAGGCGGCUUUCUGGACUGUAACUGACGCUGAGGCACGAAAGCGUGGGGAGCAAACAGGAUUAGAUACCCUGGUAGUCCACGCUGUAAACGAUGGAUACUAGGUGUAGGGGCCGAUAGGUUUCUGUGCCGCAGCAAACGCAUUAAGUAUCCCGCCUGGGGAGUACGGUCGCAAGACUGAAACUCAAAGGAAUUGACGGGGGCCCGCACAAGCAGCGGAGCAUGUGGUUUAAUUCGAAGCAACGCGAAGAACCUUACCAAGGCUUGACAUCCUCUGACGUAUGCAGAAAUGUAUAUUUCCUUCGGGACAGAGAGACAGGUGGUGCAUGGUUGUCGUCAGCUCGUGUCGUGAGAUGUUGGGUUAAGUCCCGCAACGAGCGCAACCCCUAUUACUAGUUGCCAGCACUUCGGGUGGGAACUCUAGUGAGACUGCCGGGGAUAACUCGGAGGAAGGUGGGGACGACGUCAAAUCAUCAUGCCCCUUACGUCUUGGGCUACACACGUGCUACAAUGGCCGGUACAAAGGGCUGCAACAACGCAAGUUGAAGCGAAUCUCAAAAAGCCGGUCUCAGUUCGGAUUGUGGGCUGCAACCCGCCCACAUGAAGUCGGAGUUGCUAGUAAUCGCGAAUCAGCAUGUCGCGGUGAAUGCGUUCCCGGGCCUUGUACACACCGCCCGUCACACCACGGAAGCUGGGGGCGCCCGAAGCCAGUGGCCUAACCAGAAAUGGAGGGAGCUGUCGAAGGUGAAAUCAAUGACUGGGGUGAAGUCGUAACAAGGUA
This 1490-nucleotide ribosomal RNA is filed under the name metagenome. Its description in RNAcentral is "bacterial SSU rRNA". It matches the Rfam family "Bacterial small subunit ribosomal RNA". The record is from RNAcentral.